Molecule: long non-coding RNA, 546 nt
Filed under: Equus caballus (horse)
Lineage: Eukaryota; Metazoa; Chordata; Mammalia; Perissodactyla; Equidae
Description: lncRNA (ENSECAG00000044200.1)
Source: RNAcentral
GUGAGUAUAGCUUUUGGCUUUCUGACCUCUACAGCUGGGAAGGUGCCUACAAGGGUGGGCUGGAGGUUGAGAGCUAACCCACAGUACUCAUCACAGUGGGGCACAGAGGCUGGUCUACAUUUCUUGACUGGGUAGAGCCAAUCUAGCAUAGGUCUUCGUUUGGGGGACUUGGUUUUUCUUUUUCCAUCUCUGCCGGGAUGAGUGUGUUACUGAGCAAGGGCUCGCCACCUGACGUGCAUGAAGAGCCAAUUAUUACAGCAUCAGCCUUUGGGAGAAGAAAAGCAGCCUCACUGCGAGAUCAAACUGUAAGGAGACAGGAGGCAUGUGCUCUCAGAUCUGUCUCCUCCAUUCAGGAUUUGGGAACUUGAGUAAGGAAGAAGGGUACAAUUUACAGGGUCCUCUCAAAGAACCCUACUUCUAAUAUGGCUGCAGUGAAAAGAGCUAGGGGUGGAGAGACACCAAAUGAGACUGUAGAGGGGCCUGAUUCUAUUAAGUCUUCUGGGUCUAGUUAAGGAUUUUGGACUUGAACCUAAGGCCAUGCGGAAG